This 396-nucleotide ribosomal RNA is filed under the name uncultured bacterium. Its description in RNAcentral is "partial 16S ribosomal RNA". It matches the Rfam family "Bacterial small subunit ribosomal RNA", at positions 523 to 918 of the family's 1533-position model. The record is from RNAcentral.
AUACAGAGGGUGCAAGCGUUAAUCGGAUUUACUGGGCGUAAAGCGCGCGUAGGUGGCUAAUUAAGUCAAAUGUGAAAUCCCCGAGCUUAACUUGGGAAUUGCAUUCGAUACUGGUUAGCUAGAGUAUGGGAGAGGAUGGUAGAAUUCCAGGUGUAGCGGUGAAAUGCGUAGAGAUCUGGAGGAAUACCGAUGGCGAAGGCAGCCAUCUGGCCUAAUACGGACACUGAGGUGCGAAAGCAUGGGGGGCAAACAGGAUUAGAUCCCCUGGUAGUCCAUGCCGUAAACGAUGUCUACUAGCCGUUGGGGCCCUUGAGGCUUUAGUGGCGCAGCUAACGCGAUAAGUAGACCGCCUGGGGAGUACGGUCGCAAGACUAAAACUCAAAUGAAUUGACGGGG